UCCAUCGCUAUCGAAGUGACGAAAAACUAUCUGAAGCUCUUCUUCUUUUGGGGGCCUGGAUUGUUUUGAGUGAGAAGAUCUGGGUUUUGAGCCAAUGCGAUGGAGACUUAUUAGCUUGAAACCUCGGCUGCUGGGGAGCCAUUUAGAAGGCUUGGAUACGCUAGUAUUUGCCAUGAAGUUUAGAGUUGUUUGCGAGCAAGAAAGAAAAGGCUAGCUAUAUACUGCUGGGUAGAGGAAAAG
Molecule: unclassified non-coding RNA, 240 nt
Filed under: Hevea brasiliensis (rubber tree)
Lineage: Eukaryota; Viridiplantae; Streptophyta; Magnoliopsida; Malpighiales; Euphorbiaceae
Source: RNAcentral